AGUGAACGCUGGCGGUAGGCCUAACACAUGCAAGUCGAACGGCAGCACAGUAAGAGCUUGCUCGUACGGGUGGCGAGUGGCGGACGGGUGAGGAAUACAUCGGAAUCUACUUUUUCGUGGGGGAUAACGUAGGGAAACUUACGCUAAUACCGCAUACGACCUACGGGUGAAAGCAGGGGAUCUUCGGACCUUGCGCGAUUGAAUGAGCCGAUGUCGGAUUAGCUAGUUGGCGGGGUAAAGGCCCACCAAGGCGACGAUCCGUAGCUGGUCUGAGAGGAUGAUCAGCCACACUGGAACUGAGACACAGUCCAGACUCCUACGGGAGGCAGCAGUGGGGAAUAUUGGACAAUGGGCGCAAGCCUGAUCCAGCCAUACCGCGUGGGUGAAGAAGGCCUUCGGGUUGUAAAGCCCUUUUGUUGGGAAAGAAAAGCAGCAGGUUAAUACCCCGCUGUUCUGACGGUACCCAAAGAAUAAGCACCGGCUAACUUCGUG
Molecule: ribosomal RNA, 492 nt
Filed under: uncultured bacterium
Lineage: Bacteria
Description: partial 16S ribosomal RNA
Rfam family: Bacterial small subunit ribosomal RNA
Source: RNAcentral